Long non-coding RNA from Phalaenopsis equestris, 741 nucleotides. RefSeq lists it as uncharacterized. Lineage: Eukaryota; Viridiplantae; Streptophyta; Magnoliopsida; Asparagales; Orchidaceae. The transcript is spliced from 5 exons. The record is from RefSeq and is a predicted model, not a curated record.
GCCUCAAUUCUUGGUCAGAUUUCUUGCUGCAUUGUUUCUACCUUCCCCUUUAUUCAAUGAAUGGAGAAGUCUCUCGUGCGUGAUAAGUUUCUCCUUGAGAACGAGCUCGCUGAGAUGAAGAAGGCAUAAAAAAAUGCACAAGAAAAACAAGCAAAAGUGCAAAGUGACCCAGCAAGCUUCUCAACACCACCCACCUUACUAUUAAUAGACACAAUAGACUCCCCUUCCACAAGCAUUCCGCCAUGGAUGCUCAGGCCUGCAACCUGAACGGAAUGCUGCUGCUCUUUAAGAUGAUUGAGAAUGAGAAGGAAAUAACGUGAAUAUAGCCAAAGCAAAGACCAAACAAGCUGAUCGCUGUCCUAAGGUUGUCGCAUUGCUUCUCUACUGUUAUGGUGUUGUGAUGCUGCCUUUAAGCAGUGGCGCUCAAAUCUACCACUGUGGCACUAGGUGGCGACCAUGUGGCUUUUAGUUUUUGGCAUUGCGAAUUGGUCUUUUUCUAUCUUUUGAUCCAUGAGGCUGGUCGUUGAUUGCAGUGGGUGCUUCACGUGGUAGUUCUGUGAUGCUAGAUUUGUCUUAUCGACUUAGCUCGGCAUGGUUUGACAUGGUGUUAUGGUGCUGGAACUAACAUUGCGAUGCUAAUCACCCGAGAUGCCUAGGCAUUAAGCUCUCGAAAAAAAUAUCACCUUGGAAUUGUAGGCAUGAUGUUGUGGUGUUGGUAUCAUGCAUUGUGGCGCUCUAGCA